RNAcentral lists this long non-coding RNA (605 nucleotides) under Malus domestica (apple). RNAcentral's name for it is "long non-coding RNA (MDOM_LNC004154)". The record is from RNAcentral. Lineage: Eukaryota; Viridiplantae; Streptophyta; Magnoliopsida; Rosales; Rosaceae.
CCUAAUUUCUUCUCACAGUAAUCACCAACCUUGAACUUGAACAUGUCUUCCAAUGCUUUAAGCAGCUCAGGAUAUCCUCUGUACACCUUCAAAUCAAUCUUUCUUAGAUAAGGAGCUCCAUCCAUGCUUAUCUUCACGUAGAUGCCGGCUGCCUCCGCCUCGGUUUUCUUCGAUUGGAGGCAGUUUUUCCAGUAUGAUCUCACCGGCGGCCACCCUACUACUUGUGUCCUGCAAUACAUAACCACAUAACCAGAUUAGUUUAACUUGUUUAACCUCAAAUUAAUCACAAACCAUGUUGGAACAACCCUAAUCAUAUUGUUGAGAGGAUGAAGCUCACAUUGGGAAAUAAGGAAUCUUGCAUGUGCUUAUAAGUUAUUGAGCUACUCUAACUUAUUGAUUUUAUAGUAGAACCUCAACAUCUAGUUUAUGUGCGACAAGAUUGCUUACUUGGUAGGUGGAGGCUGAGAAAUUUGCUCGUCGGAUCUGUUGGCGGGUGAAGAAUCAUUGUCUUCGCAUGUCGGAUUGCAGUGGUCUUUUGUUACUCUUGCUAACCAAAGUAGGAGAAGAGGUGUUCUGCUCGGAAUCAUUGGUGCCUGGUAACCCUA